UCCAAUGUGCACUCAGAGGCUCUGCCACAAGUCAGGAACUGGUGGCCUGCUGGGAAUGAAGGCAAGGAGUUGGCUCUGAACUUGCACAUUUGAUAGAU
Long non-coding RNA from Octopus sinensis (East Asian common octopus), 98 nucleotides. RefSeq lists it as uncharacterized. Lineage: Eukaryota; Metazoa; Mollusca; Cephalopoda; Octopoda; Octopodidae. The record is from RefSeq and is a predicted model, not a curated record. The transcript has 3 exons.